Podarcis muralis (Common wall lizard) is the source of this 523-nucleotide long non-coding RNA. RefSeq lists it as uncharacterized. The record is from RefSeq and is a predicted model, not a curated record. NCBI's taxonomy places the organism in Eukaryota, Metazoa, Chordata, Lepidosauria, Squamata, Lacertidae.
GGGGUGCGUUGGGCCUUGUUGCGCAAAUCAGCCUUUGCCAGUUGAUGCCUUUUCCAACUCUUUUUGGGACUGCAGUUAUGGACUCUCCAUUGCAACCGCUGCAGAGAUCUCUGGGUGUAUCUGUGUCCAUCACAGUUGAAUCUGGCAUCUGGAGUACUAAUGGCUGCCAUUAAGACAUACCCUUGCUUCCAGUUUAAGAUUACCUUCCAUGCAGUUGAGUGCCUGUGUCCAGGGGGGCACCUCCUUUUUUCCUUCCUGGUGUGGAUCCAAUUAAAUAAUAAACAGGAAUUAAAAAAUGUGAGUCCUUUUACCUUUUCCAGAUUGGUCCCAAAUCCUUUUAUUUUAGGGAGGUUGCCGCUUUAAUGACGGAUCUCAAGGCUUCUUGCCGUGGGGUCGUGAUCGUGCCGUGUGUCUGUGCUCAAUCUUGGAGCCUCCCCUGGCUCUCCCUGGAGCUUUGGGAACUCCAUGAGAACAUCUACUAACACCGCUGGACCCUCCAGAACCUGAACUAAAACCCUCAGAU